This 830-nucleotide ribosomal RNA is filed under the name human gut metagenome. RNAcentral describes it as "bacterial SSU rRNA". It matches the Rfam family "Bacterial small subunit ribosomal RNA", at positions 8 to 860 of the family's 1533-position model. The record is from RNAcentral.
AGAGUUCGAUCCUGGCUCAGGAUGAACGCUGGCGGCGCGCCUAACACAUGCAAGUCGAACGGCACCUAUCUUCGGAUAGAAGCGAGUGGCGAACGGCUGAGUAACACGUGGAGAACCUGCCCCCUCCCCCGGGAUAGCCGCCCGAAAGGACGGGUAAUACCGGAUACCCCGGGGUGCCGCAUGGCACCCCGGCUAAAGCCCCGACGGGAGGGGAUGGCUCCGCGGCCCAUCAGGUAGACGGCGGGGUGACGGCCCACCGUGCCGACAACGGGUAGCCGGGUUGAGAGACCGACCGGCCAGAUUGGGACUGAGACACGGCCCAGACUCCUACGGGAGGCAGCAGUGGGGAAUCUUGCGCAAUGGGGGGAACCCUGACGCAGCGACGCCGCGUGCGGGACGGAGGCCUUCGGGUCGUAAACCGCUUUCAGCAGGGAAGAGUCAAGACUGUACCUGCAGAAGAAGCCCCGGCUAACUACGUGCCAGCAGCCGCGGUAAUACGUAGGGGGCGAGCGUUAUCCGGAUUCAUUGGGCGUAAAGCGCGCGUAGGCGGCCCGGCAGGCCGGGGGUCGAAGCGGGGGGCUCAACCCCCCGAAGCCCCCGGAACCUCCGCGGCUUGGGUCCGGUAGGGGAGGGUGGAACACCCGGUGUAGCGGUGGAAUGCGCAGAUAUCGGGUGGAACACCGGUGGCGAAGGCGGCCCUCUGGGCCGAGACCGACGCUGAGGCGCGAAAGCUGGGGGAGCGAACAGGAUUAGAUACCCUGGUAGUCCCAGCCGUAAACGAUGGACGCUAGGUGUGGGGGGACGAUCCCCCCGUGCCGCAGCCAACGCAU